UACGUAGACGGAAUGCCAAGUAUCUUGUGAAAUCCCUCGGCUCAACCGAGGAAUUGCAGGGUAAACUGGCAUUCUUGAGGCAGGUAGAGGUAACUGGAACUCAUGGUGGAGCGGUGGAAUGCGUAGAUAUCAUGGGGAACGCCAAAGGUGAAGACAAGUUACUGGGCCUGUCCUGACGCUGAGGUACGAAAGCGUGGGUAGCAAACAGGAUUAGAUACCCUGGUAGUC
RNAcentral lists this ribosomal RNA (228 nucleotides) under uncultured bacterium. Its description in RNAcentral is "partial 16S ribosomal RNA". It matches the Rfam family "Bacterial small subunit ribosomal RNA", at positions 568 to 795 of the family's 1533-position model. The record is from RNAcentral.